This is a long non-coding RNA of Oncorhynchus keta (chum salmon), 3187 nucleotides long. RefSeq lists it as uncharacterized. The record is from RefSeq and is a predicted model, not a curated record. Lineage: Eukaryota; Metazoa; Chordata; Actinopteri; Salmoniformes; Salmonidae. The transcript is spliced from 3 exons.
AUGAUUUGGAAAGACUCACACCUGCCUAUAUAAGAUCCCACAGUUAACAGUGUAUAUCAGAGCAAAAACUAAGCCAUGAGGUCGAAGGAAUUGUCCCCAGAGCUCUGAGACAGGAUAGUGUAGAGGCACAGAUCUGGGAAAGGGUACCAAAACAUUUCUGCAGCAUUGAAGGUUCCCAAGAACACAGUGGCCUCCAUCAUUCUUAAAUGGAAGAAGUUUGGAAUCACCAAGACUCUUCCUAGAGCUGGCUGCCCAGCAGAGCCUUGGUCGGGAGGUGACCAAGUACCUGAUGGUCACUGACAGAGCUCCAGAUUUCCUCUGUGGAGAUGGGAGAACUUUCCAGAAGGACAACCAUCUCUGCAGCACUCCACCAAUCAGGUCUUUAUGGUAGUGACCAGAUGGAAGCCACUCCUCAGUACAAGGCACAUGACAACCCGCUUGCAGUUUGCCAAAAGGCACCUAAAGGAGAAACAAGAUUCUCUGGUCUGAUGAAACCAAGAUUGAACUCUUUGACCUGAAUGCAAAGCGUCACAUCUGGAUGAAACCUGUUACCAACGGUGAAGCAUGGUGGUGGCAGCAUCACUACGGUGAAGCAUGGUGGUGGCAGCAUCACUACGGUGAAGCAUGGUGGUGGCAGCAUCACUACGGUGAAGCAUGGUGGAGGCAGCAUCACUACGGUGAAGCAUGGUGGUGGCAGCAUCACAACGGUGAAGCAUGGUGGUGGCAGCAUCACUAUGGUGAAGCAUGGUGGUGGCAGCAUCACUACGGUGAAGCAUGGUGGUGGCAGCAUCACUACGGUGAAGCAUGGUGGUGGCAGCAUCACAACAGUGAAGCAUGGUGGUGGCAGCAUCACUACGGUGAAGCAUGGUGGUGGCAGCAUCACUACGGUGAAGCAUGGUGGUGGCAGCAUCACAACGGUUAAGCAUGGUGGUGGCAGCAUCAUGCUGUGGGGAUGUUUUUCAGUGGCAGGGACUGGGAGACUAGUCAGGAUCGAGAGAAAGAUGAACGGAGCAAAGUACAGAGAGAUCCUUGAUGAAAACCUGCUCCAGAGCAUUCAGGACCUCAGACUGAGGUGAAGGUUCACCUUUCAACAGGACAACGACCCUGAGGACACAGACAAAACAAUGCAGGAGUGGCUUCGGGACAAGUCUCUGAAUGUCCUUUAGUGGCCCAGCCAGAGACCAAAAUUGAACCCGAUCCAACAUCUCUGGAGAGACCUGAAAAUAGCUGUGCAGCGACGCUCCCUAUCCAAUCUGACGGAGCUUGAGGGGAUCUGCAGAGAAGAAUGGGAGAAACACCCCCAAUACAGGUGUACCAAGCUUGUAGCGUCUUACUCAAAACGACUCGAGGCUGUAAUCACUGCCAAAGGUGCUUCAACAAAGUACUGAGUAAAGGGUCUGAAUAUUAAUGGAAAUGUGAUAUUUUAGUGUUUUUAAAUGUAUACAUUUGCAAUAAAAAAUGAAAACAUUAUUUUGCUUUGUCGUUAUGUGGUAUUGUGUGUGUCCAUGUUAGAGUAAGGCUGUAAUGUAAAAUAAUGUGGAAAAAGUCAAGAGGUCAGAAUACUUUCUGAAUGUACUGUAUAUGAUCUAUAGUUAUUCAAUGAAGAUGAUGUUUAUAAAACACUGCAAGGAAAACACACAAAAAAUACUGUAAAUGAAGGUAAAUCAUGUCUUUAAGGUACGUGAUCAUGUCUUUAAGGUACGGUGAUCAUGUCUUUAAGGUACGGUGAUCAUGUCUUUAAGGUACGGUGAUCAUGUCUUUAAGGUACGGUGAUCAUGUCUUUAAGGUACGGUGAUCAGGUCUUUAAGGUACGGUGAUCAUGUCUUUAAGGUACGGUGAUCAUGUCUUUAAGGUACGGUGAUCAUGUCUUUAAGGUACGGUGAUCAGGUCUUUAAGGUACGGUGAUCAUGUCUUUAAGGUACGGUGAUCAGGUCUUUAAGGUACGGUGAUCAGGUCUUUAAGGUACGGUGAUCAUGUCUUUAAGGUACGGUGAUCAGGUCUUUAAGGUACGGUGAUCAUGUCUUUAAGGUACGGUGAUCAUGUCUUUAAGGUACGGUGAUCAGGUCUUUAAGGUACGGUGAUCAGGUCUUUAAGGUACGGUGAUCAUGUCUUUAAGGUACGGUGAUCAUGUCUUUAAGGUACGGUGAUCAUGUCUUUAAGGUACGGUGAUCAUGUCUUUAAGGUACGGUGAUCAUGUCUUUAAGGUACGGUGAUCAUGUCUUUAAGGUACGGUGAUCAUGUCUUUAAGGUACGGUGAUCAUGUCUUUAAGGUACGGUGAUCAUGUCUUUAAGGUACGGUGAUCAUGUCUUUAAGGUACGGUGAUCAUGUCUUUAAGGUACGGUGAUCAUGUCUUUAAGGUACGGUGAUCAUGUCUUUAAGGUACGGUGAUCAUGUCUUUAAGGUACGGUGAUCAUGUCUUUAAGGUACGGUGAUCAUGUCUUUAAGGUACGGUGAUCAUGUCUUUAAGGUACGGUGAUCAUGUCUUUAAGGUACGGUGAUCAUGUCUUUAAGGUACGGUGAUCAUGUCUUUAAGGUACGGUGAUCAUGUCUUUAAGGUACGGUGAUCAUGUCUUUAAGGUACGGUGAUCAGGUCUUUAAGGUACGGUGAUCAUGUCUUUAAGGUACGGUGAUCAUGUCUUUAAGGUACGGUGAUCAUGUCUUUAAGGUACGGUGAUCAUGUCUUUAAGGUACGGUGAUCAGGUCUUUAAGGUACGGUGAUCAGGUCUUUAAGGUACGGUGAUCAUGUCUUUAAGGUACGGUGAUCAGGUCUUUAAGGUACGGUGAUCAUGUCUUUAAGGUACGGUGAUCAUGUCUUUAAGGUACGGUGAUCAUGUCUUUAAGGUACGGUGAUCAUGUCUUUAAGGUACGGUGAUCAUGUCUUUAAGGUACGGUGAUCAGGUCUUUAAGGUACGGUGAUCAUGUCUUUAAGGUACGGUGAUCAUGUCUUUAAGGUACGGUGAUCAUGUCUUUAAGGUACGGUGAUCAUGUCUUUAAGGUACGGUGAUCAUGUCUUUAAGGUACGGUGAUCAUGUCUUUAAGGUACGGUGAUCAUGUCUUUAAGGUACGGUGAUCAUGUCUUUAAGGUACGGUGAUCAUGUCUUUAAGGUACGGUGAUCAUGUCUUUAAGGUACGGUGAUCAUGUCUUUAAGGUACGGUGAUCAUGUCUUUAAGGUACGGUGAUCAUGU